UUUUCACUGCAAAUCACUUUAUUGAAGCAGGUUAACCAUAAAUCACUCAGAGAAGCUAACAGACUGAAAACCCUUCAACCCUUUCUUGGAAGCCGACAUGAGCACGUUGGGAUGGAAGAGGGAGGAAACACAGUGGGUUUGUGGAGCCACCUCCAUGCUGGAGCUUACUCCUGGAACGAUGCCCUGGGUUGGUGCUAUGCGCAAUGUGUUCUGGUGCACCUCAUGCUCGGUUCUUCUUCUCCCAUCCUAGAUAAUGAUCAACUCAAUCAACCUUGAGAUGGUAUUUUAGGCCACAGAGGACCAGCACUGUGUGAGGAGAUCUCUUGGCCAGUGGCACACCAUGAUUUUUUCCCUGUUGGUGGGUGGCUCAUUUAUCCCCUGCUGAUACUGGGAGGUGCUGGAAGUUACUAUCUCCACAAAGAACAUGAUCCCCUCCUCAUUCCCUUUCCCUCCCCACAUGAAGCUGUAGAAAUUGGAAACCUCACACUGUCUUAGGUUGUGGUGAUAGAGGUUUGCUAAUGAUCUGUUUGGUUAACUCCUUCUGUUUCAUCCAUGUGGACAUUCCUUUCAAUCUGUCUCUAGGUGUCAUGGAGAUAAUGGGGCAGGAUGGUCCCAAGGUCGGCUCAAACACCUCUGGGAGCCCCUCUAUGAUCACAGAAUCUUAGAAAUGUAGAGCUCAGGGACCUCCAGAGGUCAUCUUAUCCCAGGAGAAGGGAUUGACAGGAAAAUAAAUGGCAGACAGAGACCAUUAGAUCCCUGAAUAAGCCUCCUACUUAAAGCUGUGUGAAGGGUCCGGAGGAAAGGGAACACCCCAAAGGAAGCUGCAAAUCAGGGAGAGCAUAAAGGAGACUGGGAGGGUGAGGUCCGGAAGGAAGUUCUGGCAUGGCCUUGGGGGACAAACAGCAGGACACCAGGCUAUGAAGCACUGCACAGGGUGAGCUGUGCUUUCCCAAAUUCACUGAAUCUGUGGCGCAUGGAGCAAUGAAGUGCAAGCAUGGGCAGAGCUCUAACUCUGCACCUCCCUGUGGGGGCACCUGAUCGAUGGCACCCCAAGAUGGCAAGGUCUGCAUCUCAUUGGAACUAGCACCAGCCAGCUCUCAGGGGAUGCAGAAAUGAAAGCUUGUCAUUGAAAUUGAUGAUUUCAUAGUUUGGAAGCUGAUCACCUUUCCGGGCAAGAUAAUUCAAGCUGCUUCCAUCUUCACGUUCACACAAUAGCCAGGCACCGCUCUGCACAUUAUGGGAAGACACUCAGUCAUUGAAAGAUCCCUUGCUCAGACUGGUUGCUUCUAUUACCAUCUUGAUCUUCCCUUCAUACUUGGCAUGUUCAUACAGGGUGAUCUUGGGAUUCUUCAGGUCUUCAGUAAUCAGCUUGAGAGAAGUGAUCUUGUCAUUCAUAUCUUCACCAACAAAGUUGUAUUCACCUUCCUCAAACACCAGGAACUUGCCUGAAUAAUUAGGAUACUCAUAGGCCACCCAGGGUUGGCCAGUGACCUUUACAGAAGAGACACAGUGGCCCCACUCUACGGGCUUCAAGUCAGCGAUGUCAGAAAUGAAUUCUUUGGAUUUACCUUGGAAGUUUAUAUGCUCAUAAAUGAUGGAUAAUCCCAUUCAUUUUGUGGG
Long non-coding RNA from Gopherus evgoodei (Goodes thornscrub tortoise), 1620 nucleotides. RefSeq lists it as uncharacterized. The transcript is spliced from 3 exons. The record is from RefSeq and is a predicted model, not a curated record. Lineage: Eukaryota; Metazoa; Chordata; Testudines; Testudinidae.